Molecule: ribosomal RNA, 397 nt
Filed under: uncultured bacterium
Lineage: Bacteria
Description: partial 16S ribosomal RNA
Rfam family: Bacterial small subunit ribosomal RNA
Source: RNAcentral
CUACGUAGGUGACAAGCGUUAUCCGGAUUUACUGGGCGUAAAGGGCGUGUAGGCGGUCUUGCAAGUCAGAAGUGAAAUUCCUGAGCUCAACUCGGGCGCUGCUUCUGAAACUGCAGGACUUGAGUGCUGGAGGGGAUAGCGGAAUUCCCGGUGUAGCGGUGAAAUGCGUAGAGAUCGGGAGGAACACCAGUGGCGAAGGCGGGUAACUGGACUGCAACUGACGCUGAGGCGCGAAAGUGUGGGGAGCAAACAGGAUUAGAUACCCUGGUAGUCCACACUGUAAACGAUGAAUGCUAGGUGUAAGAGGUAUCGACCCCUUUUGUGCCGGAGUCAACACAAUAAGCAUUCCGCCUGGGGAGUACGGCCGCAAGGUUGAAACUCAAAGGAAUUGACGGGG